UGCAGUCGAGCGGGAAAGUUCCCUUCGGGGGGCGAGUAGAGCGGCGAACGGGUGAGUAACACGUAGGUAACCUACUCUGGAGCCCGGGAUAACCUGUCGAAAGAUGGGCUAAUACCGGAUAAGACCACGAGAACUUCGGUUCAUGAGGUAAAAGAUGGCCUCUGCUUGCAAGCUAUCACUCCGGAAUGGGCCUGCGCGCCAUUAGCUUGUUGGUGGGGUAAAGGCUCACCAAGGCGAAGAUGGCUAGCUGGUCUGAGAGGAUGAUCAGCCACACUGGGACUGAGACACGGCCCAGACUCCUACGGGAGGCAGCAGUGGGGAAUAUUGCGCAAUGGGCGAAAGCCUGACGCAGCGACGCCGCGUGGGUGAUGAAGGCCUUCGGGUCGUAAAGCCCUGUCGGGAGGGAAGAAAUCUCGGUAACCCAAUACGUUGCCGACUUGACGGUACCUCCUAAGGAAGCACCGGCUAACUCCGUGCCAGCAGCCGCGGUAAUACGGAGGGUGCGAGCGUUGUUCGGAAUCACUGGGCGUAAAGCGCGUGUAGGCGGCCUCUUGAGUUCGGUGUGAAAGCCCGGGGCUCACCCCCGGAAGUGCACCGGAUACUGGGAGGCUCGAGUACCGGAGAGGAGGGUGGAAUUCCUGGUGUAGCGGUGAAAUGCGUAGAUAUCAGGAGGAACACCGGCGGCGAAGGCGGCCCUCUGGACGGAUACUGACGCUGAGACGCGAAA
This 727-nucleotide ribosomal RNA is filed under the name uncultured Pseudomonadota bacterium. RNAcentral describes it as "bacterial SSU rRNA". It matches the Rfam family "Bacterial small subunit ribosomal RNA", at positions 56 to 758 of the family's 1533-position model. The record is from RNAcentral. Lineage: Bacteria; Pseudomonadati; Pseudomonadota.